Molecule: ribosomal RNA, 702 nt
Filed under: Lacticaseibacillus casei
Lineage: Bacteria; Bacillati; Bacillota; Bacilli; Lactobacillales; Lactobacillaceae
Description: bacterial LSU rRNA
Rfam family: Bacterial large subunit ribosomal RNA
Source: RNAcentral
CGAAUGGGGGAACCCAGUACACAUCAGUGUAUUGCUUGUCAGUGAAUACAUAGCUGGCCGGCGGCAGACGCGGGGAACUGAAACAUCUCAGUACCCGCAGGAAGAGAAAGAAAACUCGAUUCCCAUAGUAGCGGCGAGCGAAGUGGGAAAAGCCCAAACCGAGAAGCUUGCUUCUCGGGGUUGUAGGACUGGACAUUGGAGUUACCAAAGUCCGACGUAGUCGAAGUCAGCUGGAAAGCUGCGCCACAGAAGGUGAAAGCCCUGUAAGCGAAACGUCGAACCCUCCGUCCAGGAUCCUGAGUACGGCGGAACACGUGAAAUUCCGUCGGAAUCCGGGAGGACCAUCUCCCAAGGCUAAAUACUCCCUAGUGACCGAUAGUGAACCAGUACCGUGAGGGAAAGGUGAAAAGCACCCCGGAAGGGGAGUGAAACAGUUCCUGAAACCGUGUGCCUACAAUUAGUCAAAGCCCGUUAACGGGUAAUGGCGUGCCUUUUGUAGAAUGAACCGGCGAGUUACGUUUGCUUGCGAGGUUAAGAUGAAAAGUCGGAGCCGUAGCGAAAGCGAGUCUGAACAGGGCGAAUGAGUAAGCAGAUGUAGACCCGAAACCAAGUGACCUACCCAUGACCAGGUUGAAGGUGUGGUGAAACACACUGGAGGACCGAACCCAUGUAUGUUGAAAAAUGCUGGGAUGAGUUGUGGGU